GUACUCACUUCCGCAGUACAUAUAUAAAAAUCGGAAGUAUACAGAGAAGAGUAGCAUGACCCCUGUGCAAGGACAACAUAGGAAUUCAUGAAGCAUUAAAUAAAAUA
Molecule: small nuclear RNA, 107 nt
Organism: Ursus americanus (American black bear)
Lineage: Eukaryota; Metazoa; Chordata; Mammalia; Carnivora; Ursidae
Source: Ensembl